AUAAUAAUUUUAUGACAAGAAAGGAUGUAUAAUUUAUGACCAGAAUAAUAAUUAUAGUAACCUAUAACAAUAAUAGAGUUCGGCUACUAUACUAUCGACAGUAUCGAGCGUUUCGUGCUAUGAAAUUUUUUACAGUUAUAUCUAUCUCUUUAAUCAUUUUUAUCCGUUAGAUUAUACUAUUACACCAACCAUCCGCUCAACCCUAGAAAAUAUAUAAUUUGAGUUUGAAUCCUAUU
Molecule: long non-coding RNA, 236 nt
Filed under: Ananas comosus (pineapple)
Lineage: Eukaryota; Viridiplantae; Streptophyta; Magnoliopsida; Poales; Bromeliaceae
Description: long non-coding RNA (ACOM_LNC020528)
Source: RNAcentral